UUCUUCUCUUCUGGAGGAUCCCAAAUGUAAACUGGAGAAACUAAGCCUGUCAAACUGCAGUAUCACAGAUGAAGGCUUCAGAUCUUUAGCAUCAGCACUGAGAUCAAACCCAUCAGCCCUCAGAGAGCUUCAGCUGGAUGGGAAUCGUCCUGGAGCCUCAGCACUGCAGCUGUUCUCUGAACUUCAGAAAGAUCCAAACUGUAAACAUAUCAAAAUAUCUGGACUCUCAUGAACCUAUUCACAUUUUAUUCCACAUUUAAAUAUUCCUCUACACUGUGUAUAAAACAAAUAAUUAUAUCUGAAGU
Clupea harengus (Atlantic herring) is the source of this 305-nucleotide long non-coding RNA. RefSeq lists it as uncharacterized. The transcript has 2 exons. NCBI's taxonomy places the organism in Eukaryota, Metazoa, Chordata, Actinopteri, Clupeiformes, Clupeidae. The record is from RefSeq and is a predicted model, not a curated record.